UCAUUAAUUAAUUGAUUUUUGAGGAAAAUGCUAUUGAAUGGGAAAAAUAACCUUUCUAACAAAUAAUACUGAGACAGCUGGAUGUCAACAUGCAAAUGAAUGAAGUUAGACCCUUUCAUCACACCAUAUAUAAAAAUUUACUAAAAAUUGAUCAAAAAUUCAAAUGUAAGAAGAAAAACUAUAAAACUCAUAAAAAUAUAUAGGAAUAAAUCUUCAUGACCUUGGAUUAACGAAGCCUUCUCGAAUAUGACACCAAAAGCAUCUGCCACACAAGCGAAUGUAGACAAAUUGGACUUCAUCAAAAUUAAAAGAUAAAAAAGCUUUUAUGCUUCAGAGAGCACAAGAAAAGAUCCACCUUUCUAGCACGACAUGAAAGUUCUGGUAAUAUAAGAACUUGGUAGUCAUAUAGCUCUCGAUUUGAAUGCUGUUUUAGAAUAGUUAAUUUAUAUAGCUUCCCUGAAUCUCAGCUUCUUCAUGUACAAAAUGGGGGUAAUAUUAGCACAUGGGUUGCUCGGAAAAUUAAAUGAGUUACCCCAUCUAAAGAGCUCAGCACAGUGCUAUCAGCGAUAGCCCUC
This 575-nucleotide long non-coding RNA is filed under the name Homo sapiens (human). Its description in RNAcentral is "non-protein coding lnc-MYLK4-32:1". Lineage: Eukaryota; Metazoa; Chordata; Mammalia; Primates; Hominidae. The record is from RNAcentral.